CCUACGGGUGGCAGCAGUCGAGAAUCAUGCACAAUGGGGGAAACCCUGAUGGGGCGACGCCGCGUGGGGGAAUGAAGGUCUGCGGAUUGUAAACCCCUGUCAUGUGGGAGCAAAUUAAAAAGAUAGUACCACAAGAGGAAGAGACGGCUAACUCUGCGCCAGCAGCCGCGGUAAUACAGAGGUCUCAAGCGUUGUUCGGAAUCACUGGGCGUAAAGCGUGCGUAGGCUGUUUCGUAAGUCGUGUGUGAAAGGCGCGGGCUCAACCCGCGGACGGCACGUGAUACUGCGAGACUAGAGUACAGGAGGGGUAACCGGAAUUCUCGGUGUAGCGGUGAAAUGCGUAGAUAUCGAGAGGAACACUCGUGGCGAAGGCGGGUUCCUGGACUUUAACUGACGCUGAGGCACGAAGGCCAGGGGAGCGAAAAGGAUUAGAUACCCCAGUAGUC
Molecule: ribosomal RNA, 446 nt
Filed under: uncultured bacterium
Lineage: Bacteria
Description: partial 16S ribosomal RNA
Rfam family: Bacterial small subunit ribosomal RNA
Source: RNAcentral